This 518-nucleotide unclassified non-coding RNA is filed under the name Hevea brasiliensis (rubber tree). The record is from RNAcentral. Lineage: Eukaryota; Viridiplantae; Streptophyta; Magnoliopsida; Malpighiales; Euphorbiaceae.
UCUUUCUUUCUUUCUUUUUCCUUCUGUAGUCUGGCUUGCCUGCUAUGUAUAAUUACUAAGUUACAAAUUUGACUAGCUUAGGUUGUGUUGGUAAACAGUGGGCAAACCAUUUUGCCAUUUAUCCAUCCUGUAAUUCCCCCCACACAAUAAACCAUUCUGAAACAAGGGUGCAUUGCAGUCGCAUUAUGCUGGUUAGCCUAACCACCUGAGUUCACAUGCUAGGUGUCUGAUGUUGGCAUGAUAGAUUAGCCGAGGACUAAUCUUGGAUGGGAUGGAUUAUAGCUCAUUAGCUGAGGAAUAAUCUUGGUUGCGAUGGUUUAUAGCUCAUGCUUGUGCUAGCUUUUACACCAAAUUACCAUUUUCUAGUAGAUGAUGAUCAUUAAAUUUUUGGGGAGCUCUACGAAUACAAAUAUUUGACAAAAUUGUUCGUUUUUCCCUUUCUUUAUUUUUCUUAUGUUAUGCUUGUUUGUUGGACUUAUAUUAUUUUGAUGUCUGGAUGCAGGGUUCAAAGAUGGUUC